UUUAUCCGGGCUUGGAACCGGCUAAACGAAAACUACUUAGGCGGAGUUGUUCUACUGAUUCUCUAAUACUGAAAAUUCACAUAUUAUGGAUCUUAGUCAUCAUGACAUCAUAUCUGAAGAACCAAAUAAUCCGUAAGUCAUAUUUGUUCCUAUCCUAUUGGCAUUUGGUCCUCCUAAUUCUAUCAUUUCUUCCUUAAUCAUUCCAAAUAUAUAUUUUCGUGUGCAACUGUGUGUUAUAGAAGAGCAGCAACCAAACAUGAAGGGGUGUGCCAAAAGAACCUGGAUCACUUAUUGCAGAAGGCACAAGAAGAUUUUAUAAGGGUCUCAGGCAGUUAUGGAAAUUCCAGGUGGACCACAGGGAGGACCAGCCAAGAGCAAUUUCCAGAAGACCAUGUGACCACAAGUAUCUGCAUUUUCUAUAUAGAGACAGAUUGAAUGGGAAGGGCAUCUGUCAAUAUUUUAAGUUGUAUUCCAGCUAUUCAAUAGCUUGGGGGUUAAGAGUUAUUCUGUGAGGGAUUUCUCUUUGCUGUAUUGGAAUUAUCCAAUUGCAUAAAUAAAAUUCUGCUCUUCUCUUCUCUCCAAAUUUUCUAUUUGUUCAUCUUUGUUCAGCAAUUUCUUUAAAUUCAGAGUUGGAUUCCUUACCCAGUGAACUGUGAAAGUGAGUGUACAAAUUCUACUCUUCAUUUAGGAUUGCUUUUUCCUUCUUUCUUCUCUUAUUAUUUUUUCCUUUUUUCUUGCAAUCAAAUUUCUUAUUUCCCUUCUCCCCUUCCUAAUUCGAAGUUCAUAAUAUUGUCCCCCACACCAAAAAGUGAACAGGGAAAACGCGGAGCUCCUGCAGAACCCAACAGCAGCAAGACUGCAGAAACACAAUAUUCAAACAUGUACAAAGAUUCCUAAAAGAAAAUUUCAAAGAACAAUACCAUGUAUAAGUCGUCUUCCGAAUUAGUCAUACCUGUUGCUUAAGGUCAUAAGGGU
Molecule: unclassified non-coding RNA, 975 nt
Filed under: Hevea brasiliensis (rubber tree)
Lineage: Eukaryota; Viridiplantae; Streptophyta; Magnoliopsida; Malpighiales; Euphorbiaceae
Source: RNAcentral